This 304-nucleotide ribosomal RNA is filed under the name uncultured bacterium. Its description in RNAcentral is "partial 16S ribosomal RNA". It matches the Rfam family "Bacterial small subunit ribosomal RNA", at positions 506 to 809 of the family's 1533-position model. The record is from RNAcentral.
CAGCAGUAGCCGCGGUAAUACGGAGGGUGCAAGCGUUAAUCGGAAUUACUGGGCGUAAAGCGCACGCAGGCGGUUUGUUAAGUCGGAUGUGAAAUCCCUGAGCUUAACUUAGGAAUUGCAUUCGAUACUGGGAAGCUAGAGUAUGGGAGAGGAUGGUAGAAUUCCAGGUGUAGCGGUGAAAUGCGUAGAGAUCUGGAGGAAUACCGAUGGCGAAGGCAGCCAUCUGGCCUAAUACUGACGCUGAGGUACGAAAGCAUGGGGAGCAAACAGGAUUAGAUACCCGAGUAGUCCCUGUCUCUUAUAA